This is a long non-coding RNA of Cucurbita maxima (winter squash), 478 nucleotides long. RefSeq lists it as uncharacterized. The transcript has 2 exons. The record is from RefSeq and is a predicted model, not a curated record. NCBI's taxonomy places the organism in Eukaryota, Viridiplantae, Streptophyta, Magnoliopsida, Cucurbitales, Cucurbitaceae.
CUUCGUAGUUCACACCAGAAGGAGACAGCGUAGCAGAAGAAACUUGGAGGAGUGCCAAAACUACAAAAACCGGUUUCCAUAACAGAAAAGGUGGUUCCAUAAUGAAUUCUCCGUUGGGUAAAUUUUCAGGCCAUGUUGUGGCAUGUAUCAAGGAUGAGCAUAGUAAAAGAGAAGAGGAAUGAAUGGGAGAGAAAGCGAGAGUGUUGUGGGAAGUUGAAGUUGUGAGAUCCUAGAGAUCUGAGAGGGGCGAAUGUGAAUGGUGCUUGAGGCGUCUCCUAAGGGACUCCAAAACCAUAGCCUUGCUUCUUCUUUAGAUGAAGAUUGAGAAAAAAGAGAAGGAAAAGCGCGUUGGUUCAGUAAAAUAGAUUCAGCUCAACCCCUGCAGAAACAAACAAGAAAACAGAGACCGUAAGAAACAGCCAAGGACGGACCCAAAUACAGAUGUAAAAAGGCAGUUACAGCUUUUUUGAAAAAAAAA